UAGAUAGGAAGCCAGCUGUAAACAGCACACUGGGCACCCCCCUCUGUUCCCUUGUCCUGUAAACAGCACACUGGGCACCCCCCUCUGUUCCUUUAUUCUGUUUUAAAGAUUCUUACGUGCUUGACUAAUCCUGUAUACAUGGAGGAAUGUGCCUUACUACGCCCCUGCUGCAAACCAUUAUAGAUCUAUAUCGCUCUAGAAGUUCCUUUGCUCCCCCAGGUCCCCGACUCUCUGAGGUCGACAAGUGGCGCCCAAACAGGGACCUGAAGCCCCCGUCGAGGAGUGAUCGGCCAGCGAUAGAACCCUACAGAAGGUGAUGGAUCCAGUCGAGCAAUUUGGAUACCUCUUCGAAAAGUCCGGCCCAGGACCAGCGAUAAAGACAACAGAAGAGGUGUCUCAGCCGCUGCAGGGAUUGACUACCCAACCCCCUGUCCGAGAGAUGGCAACACUCUCCUUGAAAGAGACCUCGAAAAUGAAAAUUGUCCCCGACAAUACCCCCAACUUGGGGGCAACUGAAGACCCUCACUCAGAGGGCGGAGCGAGUCCUGGAGACGACCAGAUCUACCAAAACCCCUGAACAUUUGUUCCUGGCUAUGUUAGCGGUGGGGACAUGCGCCUCUCCGCAGUACGGAUUCCAUCCUUCUUCUCCAGGCCCGUAUGGGGGUCUGGAUUCUGGAUACUGUACCCUCAAAAGACAAAUCAAUGCCCCAAAUCUCCAUCACAGAGUGCUUACGACAGCAGCUAAUUUGAAAAAAGAAAGGGGGACCUGUGGGAAACAGAACACCACAACAACCACCGGUGCGUGUUCAGACUCCGAGAUCUCUGAGAAAACUCGAGAGUGCAGGCUUAAAAAUAACCUGAAAGGAUCAGAGUGAAAUGCCCUUGGGACGUGUGUGGUCAGUUCCAAAGUACGCAGCAGAAGAUGUUUUGUAGAUAGGAAGCCAGCUGUAAACAGCACACUGGGCACCCCCCUCUGUUCCCUUGUCCUGAAAACAGCACACUGGGCACCCCCCUCUGUUCCUUUAUUCUGUUUUAAAAGAUUCUUACGUGCUUGACUAAUCCUGUAUACAUGGAGGAAUGUGCCUUACUACGCCCCUGCUGCAAACCAUUAUAGAUCUAUAUCGCUCUAGAAGGUAUGUAAGAGUAUGGAAAAUAAACCUCGGCACCUCGGGCUGUUUGCUUGGGGUCCCCUGUGCCUCACUCUACUGUCGUUUCUUUUUCUCAGUUCCUUUGCUGCCCCAGGUCCCCGACUCUCUGAGGUGGCCACCAUUUUAUGAAUCUGGCAUUCUCAA
This is a long non-coding RNA of Callorhinus ursinus (northern fur seal), 1292 nucleotides long. RefSeq lists it as uncharacterized. NCBI's taxonomy places the organism in Eukaryota, Metazoa, Chordata, Mammalia, Carnivora, Otariidae. The record is from RefSeq and is a predicted model, not a curated record.